This 2901-nucleotide ribosomal RNA is filed under the name Klebsiella quasipneumoniae subsp. similipneumoniae. RNAcentral's name for it is "23S ribosomal RNA". It matches the Rfam family "Bacterial large subunit ribosomal RNA". Lineage: Bacteria; Pseudomonadati; Pseudomonadota; Gammaproteobacteria; Enterobacterales; Enterobacteriaceae. The record is from RNAcentral.
UUAAGCGACUAAGCGUACACGGUGGAUGCCCUGGCAGUCAGAGGCGAUGAAGGACGUGCUAAUCUGCGAAAAGCGUCGGUAAGGUGAUAUGAACCGUUAUAACCGGCGAUGUCCGAAUGGGGAAACCCAGUGUGAUUCGUCACACUAUCGUUAACUGAAUACAUAGGUUAACGAGGCGAACCGGGGGAACUGAAACAUCUAAGUACCCCGAGGAAAAGAAAUCAACCGAGAUUCCCCCAGUAGCGGCGAGCGAACGGGGAGCAGCCCAGAGUCUGAAUCAGCUUGUGUGUUAGUGGAACGGUCUGGAAAGUCCGACGGUACAGGGUGAUAGUCCCGUACACCAAAAUGCACAGGCUGUGAACUCGAAGAGUAGGGCGGGACACGUGGUAUCCUGUCUGAAUAUGGGGGGACCAUCCUCCAAGGCUAAAUACUCCUGACUGACCGAUAGUGAACCAGUACCGUGAGGGAAAGGCGAAAAGAACCCCGGCGAGGGGAGUGAAAAAGAACCUGAAACCGUGUACGUACAAGCAGUGGGAGCACCUUUAUGGUGUGACUGCGUACCUUUUGUAUAAUGGGUCAGCGACUUAUAUUCUGUAGCAAGGUUAACCGUAUAGGGGAGCCGCAGGGAAACCGAGUCUUAACUGGGCGUUAAGUUGCAGGGUAUAGACCCGAAACCCGGUGAUCUAGCCAUGGGCAGGUUGAAGGUUGGGUAACACUAACUGGAGGACCGAACCGACUAAUGUUGAAAAAUUAGCGGAUGACUUGUGGCUGGGGGUGAAAGGCCAAUCAAACCGGGAGAUAGCUGGUUCUCCCCGAAAGCUAUUUAGGUAGCGCCUCGUGAACUCAUCUUCGGGGGUAGAGCACUGUUUCGGCUAGGGGGUCAUCCCGACUUACCAACCCGAUGCAAACUACGAAUACCGAAGAAUGUUAUCACGGGAGACACACGGCGGGUGCUAACGUCCGUCGUGAAGAGGGAAACAACCCAGACCGCCAGCUAAGGUCCCAAAGUCAUGGUUAAGUGGGAAACGAUGUGGGAAGGCACAGACAGCCAGGAUGUUGGCUUAGAAGCAGCCAUCAUUUAAAGAAAGCGUAAUAGCUCACUGGUCGAGUCGGCCUGCGCGGAAGAUGUAACGGGGCUAAACCAUGCACCGAAGCUGCGGCAGCGACGCUUAUGCGUUGUUGGGUAGGGGAGCGUUCUGUAAGCCUGCGAAGGUGGCCUGUGAGGGUUGCUGGAGGUAUCAGAAGUGCGAAUGCUGACAUAAGUAACGAUAAAGCGGGUGAAAAGCCCGCUCGCCGGAAGACCAAGGGUUCCUGUCCAACGUUAAUCGGGGCAGGGUGAGUCGACCCCUAAGGCGAGGCCGAAAGGCGUAGUCGAUGGGAAACAGGUUAAUAUUCCUGUACUUGGUGUUACUGCGAAGGGGGGACGGAGAAGGCUAUGUUAGCCGGGCGACGGUUGUCCCGGUUUAAGCAUGUAGGCUGGUUAUCCAGGCAAAUCCGGAUAAUCAAGGCUGAGGUGUGAUGACGAGGCACUACGGUGCUGAAGUAACAAAUGCCCUGCUUCCAGGAAAAGCCUCUAAGCAUCAGGUAACAUCAAAUCGUACCCCAAACCGACACAGGUGGUCAGGUAGAGAAUACCAAGGCGCUUGAGAGAACUCGGGUGAAGGAACUAGGCAAAAUGGUGCCGUAACUUCGGGAGAAGGCACGCUGGUGUGUAGGUGAAGCCCCUGCGGGUGGAGCUGAGACCAGUCGAAGAUACCAGCUGGCUGCAACUGUUUAUUAAAAACACAGCACUGUGCAAACACGAAAGUGGACGUAUACGGUGUGACGCCUGCCCGGUGCCGGAAGGUUAAUUGAUGGGGUUAUCCGUAAGGAGAAGCUCUUGAUCGAAGCCCCGGUAAACGGCGGCCGUAACUAUAACGGUCCUAAGGUAGCGAAAUUCCUUGUCGGGUAAGUUCCGACCUGCACGAAUGGCGUAAUGAUGGCCAGGCUGUCUCCACCCGAGACUCAGUGAAAUUGAACUCGCUGUGAAGAUGCAGUGUACCCGCGGCAAGACGGAAAGACCCCGUGAACCUUUACUAUAGCUUGACACUGAACAUUGAGCCUUGAUGUGUAGGAUAGGUGGGAGGCUUUGAAGCGUGGACGCCAGUCUGCGUGGAGCCAACCUUGAAAUACCACCCUUUAAUGUUUGAUGUUCUAACGUUGGCCCCUUACCGGGGUUGCGGACAGUGUCUGGUGGGUAGUUUGACUGGGGCGGUCUCCUCCCAAAGCGUAACGGAGGAGCACGAAGGUUAGCUAAUCCUGGUCGGACAUCAGGAGGUUAGUGCAAUGGCAUAAGCUAGCUUGACUGCGAGCGUGACGGCGCGAGCAGGUGCGAAAGCAGGUCAUAGUGAUCCGGUGGUUCUGAAUGGAAGGGCCAUCGCUCAACGGAUAAAAGGUACUCCGGGGAUAACAGGCUGAUACCGCCCAAGAGUUCAUAUCGACGGCGGUGUUUGGCACCUCGAUGUCGGCUCAUCACAUCCUGGGGCUGAAGUAGGUCCCAAGGGUAUGGCUGUUCGCCAUUUAAAGUGGUACGCGAGCUGGGUUUAGAACGUCGUGAGACAGUUCGGUCCCUAUCUGCCGUGGGCGCUGGAGAAUUGAGGGGGGCUGCUCCUAGUACGAGAGGACCGGAGUGGACGCAUCACUGGUGUUCGGGUUGUCAUGCCAAUGGCACUGCCCGGUAGCUAAAUGCGGAAGAGAUAAGUGCUGAAAGCAUCUAAGCACGAAACUUGCCCCGAGAUGAGUUCUCCCUGAGACUUUAAGUCUCCUGAAGGAACGUUGAAGACGACGACGUUGAUAGGCCGGGUGUGUAAGCGCAGCGAUGCGUUGAGCUAACCGGUACUAAUGAACCGUGAGGCUUAACCU